Molecule: ribosomal RNA, 253 nt
Filed under: uncultured bacterium
Lineage: Bacteria
Description: partial 16S ribosomal RNA
Rfam family: Bacterial small subunit ribosomal RNA
Source: RNAcentral
UACGUAGGGUGCAAGCGUUAAUCGGAAUUACUGGGCGUAAAGCGUGCGCAGGCGGUUUUGUAAGUCUGUCGUGAAAUCCCCGGGCUUAACCUGGGAAUGGCGAUGGUGACUGCAAGGCUAGAGUUUGGCAGAGGGGGGUAGAAUUCCACGUGUAGCAGUGAAAUGCGUAGAGAUGUGGAGGAACACCGAUGGCGAAGGCAGCCCCCUGGGUCAAAACUGACGCUCAUGCACGAAAGCGUGGGUAGCGAACAGG